UUGAAAAUCCCGCUUUUCAAUUUUCUCAAAAGGAACUAUAUCCACUUUUACAUUGUUUCUUAUGACCCAACUAACGAGCACACCCCAUCUUUCCACUUGCACAUAUCUCCUUUUCGCAUAAAUACGUCCAUUUUAUCUUUGAUUCCAGGCAUAUUUGCCUUACUAUCGGUAGCCGAUCUCCUGCCAGAACACAAAGUGUUGAUCCAUGCUGGGCUCAGUACCAUUGGUCAAGCAAUGUUAUCAGUUGUCCACAGUGAGGGAGCCGUGGCAUUCACCACUGUCCCGCAUGCAGCAGCCCAUACAGCACUAAGCAAAUUAUGUCCAUUUAUUCCAAAAGAAAAUAUUCUGGAUACUUCUGAUCCUCAUUGGGAGCUGAAGCUCAGAUUCAUGACCAAAGGGAGCGGUGUAAAUAUAGUUGUGAACUGUCUGAGCGGAACUAAACUUUUGCGUCAGUUCGAUGUCUAGCUGUACUUGGGAAAUUUUUACAAAUGAGCUCCACCGAUUCGUAUAAUAAAGAGCAACUUGGUAAGUAAGUUUUCUCUCUCUCUUCAUUGCUCUAGGCCAAUAAGUGAAGAAAUAGCGGUUGUAUUCAUAGUUGUUCCUUAAUCAGCUCCUCCCCUCAGGAGGCUGUUGAUAUAGCAUCAUAAAAAAGACGAUUUUUCCGAACCUGGGAUUAAAUUCUAGAGUAUUUAACUUAGGAAAUAAAUCCUUAUAAGGAAUUAAAAUGAUAUUCCUUUCCGGAAAAUACUAAUUCCGAAGAAAAAAAUUCUCCACAAACUGAUUGCUGUGGACGCAUGGGUCGUAAGACAGUAUGUUGGAGUUCUUUUGUUUUUUUUUUAAGCCAAUGUUUGUUAAAAAUUCAGCAUAAAGCUGAAAAUCUCAAUACAAGUACAAGGUCAGUUCCUGAAUGUUCGUAACUAGUGUUGCACCAAAUAGCAUAACUCUUUGAGGGAAAAUUGUGCUCUUAUGAGCUUUUUCCCUCUGUAAUGAGAUUUUCAGCUUUAUGCUGAAUUUUGACGCAUGUUGAAAAAGAAAAAAAACCUAAAAAUUCUACAAUUUUCACAAGCUUUAAGGUAGAUUUGCACCUUCUUAAAAGUCCAUCGUAAUCAGAAAAUUGCUUCUCUUACAUUUCGUGCUUAUUUCAACGGUAAAUCGUUCAAGCCCUUGGUAGGCUCUAUUUCCAUAGUUACACUCCUGGUUGGGAAAAAUUGUACUUUUGAUGAUUAACGGCGUCCUGAAACCUCCCUUGGUCACGAUUUAAAACAUGUGAGGCCUCCUAAAGAGAGGGG
This 1289-nucleotide long non-coding RNA is filed under the name Bemisia tabaci. RNAcentral's name for it is "lncRNA ENSSSA2NGG008247". Lineage: Eukaryota; Metazoa; Arthropoda; Insecta; Hemiptera; Aleyrodidae. The record is from RNAcentral.